Molecule: ribosomal RNA, 439 nt
Filed under: uncultured Desnuesiella sp.
Lineage: Bacteria; Bacillati; Bacillota; Clostridia; Eubacteriales; Clostridiaceae
Description: bacterial SSU rRNA
Rfam family: Bacterial small subunit ribosomal RNA
Source: RNAcentral
CCUACGGGAGGCAGCAGUGGGGAAUAUUGCACAAUGGGCGAAAGCCUGAUGCAGCAACGCCGCGUGGAGGAUGAAGGCCUUCGGGUUGUAAACUCUUGUCUUCUGGGACGAUAAUGACGGUACCAGAGGAGGAAGCCACGGCUAACUACGUGCCAGCAGCCGCGGUAAUACGUAGGUGGCAAGCGUUGUCCGGAUUUACUGGGCGUAAAGGAUGCGUAGGCGGAUAUUUAAGUGGGAUGUGAAAUACCCGGGCUCAACCUGGGUGCUGCAUUCCAAACUGGAUAUCUGGAGUGCGGGAGAGGAGAGUGGAAUUCCUAGUGUAGCGGUGAAAUGCGUAGAGAUUAGGAAGAACACCAGUGGCGAAGGCGACUCUCUGGACCGUAACUGACGCUGAGGCAUGAAAGCGUGGGGAGCAAACAGGAUUAGAUACCCUGGUAGU